Molecule: ribosomal RNA, 305 nt
Filed under: uncultured bacterium
Lineage: Bacteria
Description: bacterial SSU rRNA
Rfam family: Bacterial small subunit ribosomal RNA
Source: RNAcentral
UGUUUCCUACGGGGCGCAGCAGUGAGGAAUAUUGGUCAAUGGGCGCGAGCCUGAACCAGCCAAGUCGCGUGAAGGAUGACUGCCCUACGGGUUGUAAACCUCUUUUAUAAAGGAAUAAAGUGAGGCACGUGUGCCUUUUUGUAUGUACUUUAUGAAUAAGGAUCGGCUAACUCCGUGCCAGCAGCCGCGGUAAUACGGAGGAUCCGAGCGUUAUCCGGAUUUAUUGGGUUUAAAGGGAGCGUAGAUGGGUUGUUAAGUCAGUUGUGAAAGUUCGCGGCUCAACCGUAACAUUGCAAUUGAUACUG